This 98-nucleotide transfer RNA is filed under the name Acidobacteriota bacterium. RNAcentral describes it as "Acidobacteria bacterium (sediment metagenome) tRNA-Sec". It matches the Rfam family "Selenocysteine transfer RNA". The record is from RNAcentral. Lineage: Bacteria; Pseudomonadati; Acidobacteriota.
GGAGGUGCUUCGGGGCUGGCGCCUCGCGCGGCCUUCAAAGCCGUUGCACCGGGGCUUACCCCCCGGCGGGUGGGUUCGAUUCCCAUGCACCUCCGCCA